This 831-nucleotide long non-coding RNA is filed under the name Gossypium raimondii (Peruvian cotton). RNAcentral's name for it is "long non-coding RNA (GRAI_LNC010738)". Lineage: Eukaryota; Viridiplantae; Streptophyta; Magnoliopsida; Malvales; Malvaceae. The record is from RNAcentral.
UUUUGUUUGUGCUCUUCUUCAUCCAUUGUAUCACAAAUUGUUCCACCUCUAGUCUCCGGUAAUCCCACCAACGGGAGCCCGCAAAUUCCUAUCACCAACCCGAAUACCCCGAACGAUAUGAAGUUAUUUGUCCUCCCAGCGGCCACGAGCAGUGGGCUGAACACCCCCCCAAACACCAGUGCUUGCCUCACCAUUGAUAUUGCCGAGUUCCUCACGCAUGUGGGAAACAGCUCUAAUGUGUAUAUCAGUGACAUGUUGAAGGCCGAGCAGGCACUGAAGAAGGAUAUCAGCUCCAUUGCUAUCUGUAAACUUGGCGACACCUUCCCCACCACCACACACAACACGCUGCACACCCCGCUUAAUAUUGUGAAACCCAACAAUGAGUCUUUCCUUUUCAUUUUCCCUAUAAGGAAGAAUGUAAUGAGUGACGCUGGCAACUCGGAUAAGGCGUUUAAUGUGACGCCCAAAUAGAGAUUGACGGAUAGAUUUCCAAGGCCUAAUGGCAUGCCGUAGUACACCAUCCCAAUCCCAAAACCUCCCACCAUCACGGCCGCUAGCCUUUUUGCCGCCCACCUCUUGUUCAACAGUAUCUUGAUUGUGGAGUAAAUAUCUACAUUCCAUGAUUCCUGCUCGAUUAGGACAUUGGAGAAGCUCAUUGUUAUGGGACUUUGAUUAGCCUGAGCCAUGCUCUUGAGUGUUAACACUGCUUCUUCUUUGCGUCCUCGGACGAACAGCCAUCUUGGGGACUCAUGAACUAAGAAAUGAACUAAUAUACAGUACAAAAUUGUUGGAACCGAAAUCCACAGAUACAGUGUUCUCCAUGAAGAACCU